Molecule: ribosomal RNA, 498 nt
Filed under: uncultured bacterium
Lineage: Bacteria
Description: partial 16S ribosomal RNA
Rfam family: Bacterial small subunit ribosomal RNA
Source: RNAcentral
AUUGAACGCUGGCGGCAUGCCUUACACAUGCAAGUCGAACGGUAACAGGUCUUCGGAUGCUGACGAGUGGCGAACGGGUGAGUAAUACAUCGGAACGUGCCUAGUAGUGGGGGAUAACUACUCGAAAGAGUGGCUAGUACCGCAUGAGAUCUACGGAUGAAAGCAGGGGAUCGCAAGACCUUGUGCUACUAGAGCGGCCGAUGGCAGAUUAGGUAGUUGGUGGGAUAAAAGCUUACCAAGCCGACGAUCUGUAGCUGGUCUGAGAGGACGAUCAGCCAAACUGGGACUGGGACACGGCCCAGACUCCUACGGGAGGCAGCAGUGGGGAAUUUUGGACAAUGGGCGAAAGCCUGAUCCAGCAAUGCCGCGUGCAGGAUGAAGGCCUUCGGGUUGUAUACUGCUUUUGUACGGAACGAAAAGCCCCGGGUUAAUACCCUGGGGUCAUGACGGUACCGUAAGAAUAAGCACCGGCUAACUACGUGCCAGCAGCCGCGGUAA